This 535-nucleotide ribosomal RNA is filed under the name uncultured bacterium. RNAcentral describes it as "bacterial LSU rRNA". It matches the Rfam family "Bacterial large subunit ribosomal RNA", at positions 641 to 1149 of the family's 2925-position model. The record is from RNAcentral.
CGAGGUUAACCCGAGUGGGGUAGCCGUAGCGAAAGCGAGUCUGAAUAGGGCGUAUCCACACAACAGUGUGUGGUGUAGUGGUGUGUUCUGGACCCGAAGCGGAGUGAUCUACCCAUGGCCAGGGUGAAGCGCGGGUAAGACCGCGUGGAGGCCCGAACCCACUUAGGUUGAAGACUGAGGGGAUGAGCUGUGGGUAGGGGUGAAAGGCCAAUCAAACUCCGUGAUAGCUGGUUCUCCCCGAAAUGCAUUUAGGUGCAGCGUCGCGUGUUUCUUACCGGAGGUAGAGCUACUGGAUGGCCGAUGGGCCCCACAGGGUUACUGACGUCAGCCAAACUCCGAAUGCCGGUAAGUCCAAGAACGCGGCAGUGAGACGGCGGGGGAUAAGCUCCGUGCGUCGAGAGGGAAACAGCCCAGAUCGCCGGCUAAGGCCCCUAAGCGUGUGCUAAGUGGAAAAAGGAUGUGCAGUCGCAAAGACAAACCAGGAGGUUGGCUUAGAAGCAGCCACCCUUGAAAGAGUGCGUAAUAGCUCACUGGU